AUAUCAAAAUAUUUAUCGUUCAACUAACGUAUCACAUUCGGUACGGUAAUUAUUCGAUUAAACGAAAUUAGUCACAUCGGUAAGAAAAGAAAGACGCGUCUUUCGCGUUUAAAGACCGUCCGCGAUGCGAUACAAAUUUAGAAUCCGAUGUUAAUGCCCUUCCGCACCCUCGCGAUUCUGGCUCGAAGCUUAUUUGGCUCGGCGCAACAUCGUUCACACUGGUUGGAACGUUUAUUUAUCGUUGUCGACCGACCGACGAUUCUCGCGAUGAAACUUUACGGUAAUUUAUUGGAUAAUUUGUUUAGUAUCUUUGGAAAAAGCUAACAAAAGGUUUCUCUUUUAUUCUUUCGUUCGUUGUUUCGCAACAUUCAUAUGUAAUUAUUUGUACUAGUUUCAUGAAUUUUCCUUGUCAUCGAACCAUAUGCAACGUUUCAAAAAUACUCUACUGUUAUUAAUAUCAUUAUUGUGGUUUCGGCAGUAUGUCCUUACGCACAUUAAUAAUAAUAAUAAUAGUAUCGAUUGAAUAACGCGUAUCCACGUCGUCCACUGUAGUAACGCCAAUGUAUUAUCUUGAAGCUUUCUUUUCUCUCGUUCAGACGCGAUAAGACAAGUGUCUUCGUUUCGAAAUGAUGGGUCGAACGUUGUGCGAAAAAUUUAAUGUGGGAUGUUACGAGCUUCUAUUUUUCGAUCGUCGUCGUAUCGUUUCCCACUGGAGAAUCCUUCCUCUAUUUUUACCGAUCCGAUUCCCGGUGAUCGAAUCGUCACGCGAUACCUCCUCAUCAUACGGCUAAGACUGUUCUGUAGCUAUACAUAGGCAGCUGGCUGCCCUCGAUCGAAUGGAAGCACAAAUAAACUCCGAGAGAGCGUGGCUUCUAUGGGCGCAGAUAACUUAUCUGCCUUGUUUCUUUUUCCUCGCCACGUUUUAAUUUCUUCACUCAAACUUCUACCAUGAUGGAACACCCAGCAAAAUGCUUUUCAUUUAGAAAAGAUUAAACGAGAUUCUGGCGAUCCAACAUCGCUGACGAAAGGGUCAGGAAGCCGAAAGGGAAACGACGAAACUGAGAACGGGACUAAAUUUAGUUGCGUCCAGUAAACACGAUACGAUUUCAACGUCGACGAUUUGAAAGACCGGAAAGCCAAGAAUGGCAAGGAGAGGAGCUCGUACUACUACAUCCUGUUAAAACAGUCGUCUCUGUUCGUUACAUCUUGGAGAACCUUAAUUUUAUUUUAUGUCUAACAAAAAGAAGAAUUAUAGUACAAAAACAUAGCGACUAUCCGAGUGUUAAAAUUGAAUUUUCAUACGUUUACAUAUGUCGAUUUGUUAAUUAUAUGAAAUGUAUUGAUUAAAUAUUGUUAGUUAACAUC
Molecule: long non-coding RNA, 1365 nt
Organism: Osmia bicornis bicornis
Lineage: Eukaryota; Metazoa; Arthropoda; Insecta; Hymenoptera; Megachilidae
Exons: 2
Source: RefSeq, a predicted model, not a curated record